UCAAUAAACCUAUAUACCUAUAGUUAUUAAGUGGACAUGGACUUAUUUGAUACUCCAAAAUAUUUAAUGGAUAGAAAAUAGGUACUAGGUUUUAGAGAUUAAAAAUAUUAUUAGAGCAUUAUUAGAAUAUAAAUAUGCUCAAGGUUUGUUAGCAUGAAGCCAGCACAUAAGAGAAAUACAAAGGUUGCAGUGAUACCGAAUAGAAGAGCACCUUUUUCUGUACACAAUUAGGGAGUAGAAACGAGAAGGGAAGAUGUUUUGAAAAUACAAACUGUCUUAAAGAUUUUGAAUGAAAAAAGAAAGCCAUUUCGAAUACUGAAAAUAACCUUUUCAAAACAAGAAUCUGUAAGUUCCUAUGCACAUGGCAAAAUAUAGAAUGCAUAUUUAGACAGGAUUUAUAAAUAGAGGUCACAUAACUCAAUAAGUUGAAGAGAGCAAGUUCAAACCUAGUUCAUCUAAAUCAAAUGCACAUGCUCUUUUCUCUACACUCCAGUGUAAUUAUCAGAAGUAUGUAGGAGUUAGAUAAUGGGAAACAUUUGCAAGUGUUAUAAAGCUGGAAAAAUUUGCUUCCACUUUAUUGUAUGUUUUAAGUCUAACUGUCAAAAUAUUACUUAAAUAGGUAAUACUUAAUUCCUUUAAUGUUAAAAAAGAUUAAAAUUGUCAUUUUAUGAAACUACUCUAGCUAGUCCUAUGAACCAGAGACCUGAUUGGUGACCUAUUGUAAUUAAGAACCUAAAAGGUCAUCGUUGUGACAAGUUCUAAAUGUUUAAAUAAGAUAUGGUGUUUGAGAAGGGCUGAAUUUGAGGAAAUUUUCAAUGAUAAAUAAAUAUUUGUUCGUGAUUAGAUUUGUGUGAUGUGUUAAAGUAUUAUACUCCUUUACUAAAAUAUGAUACCAUGUAUCUUUAAACCCAUUAUAUAAUUUCUUUUAUUUUUCUUUUCAACACUGUCAUUUUUUUAACUUGCUCACCUUUGAAUCAUUGAAGUUUAUGUCUGCGUGCUCACAAAACAUACAAACAACAUUAUUAGUUCAAAUUUUAU
RNAcentral lists this long non-coding RNA (1038 nucleotides) under Marmota monax (woodchuck). The record is from RNAcentral. Lineage: Eukaryota; Metazoa; Chordata; Mammalia; Rodentia; Sciuridae.